CUUUUUAAAAUCAAACAUCACCGUUAGGUUGCGCCAGGUUGCGCUACCACAUGUUUACUUUCGAUGAGCUGUCAAAACAUAGCAGAAGCAAAAAUGAAACAUUUAUUGUUAGAUAAUUCGUUCACUUUCGCGACUGCGACUUCGUUCUAGUACAAUAAGUAUAAUAUUAUCACUAAACGCAACUACGCAAGUUAACAGGAAUUAAUUCAGAAUGGACGAGAAUACGAUAUCAGCUGUGGCGUUCCACCCGAUUAUUUCAUCGAUACAAAAAAUUGCACUUUACGAGACGAAAUCAAGGUUUUAUUUAAUGGCUUCGAAUAAUACCCUUACACGGUUCCGUGUAUUGAAGAUAGAUCGAACGGAGCCAAAGGAAUUAAUCGUUAUUGACGAUAAAAGGGAGUACACCCACGAUGAAAUCCAGGAUCUCGUAGAUAUGAUUGACAUGGGUAAUCGUACGCGUGCUGGACAACGAAACAAUGUUGGCGGAGUCACCAGGAUUGUUUCAGCCUUUGGUAUUGUUGGCAACGUUCACAAAGAAUCUACACCUGAAGCUGGUGUAUCAGAGGAAUCUGAACACCAAGACUAUCAGAAACCAUUGCAUAAGCCAACUCAAACUAAAUUCAGCUGGAAAACGAUGUGGCAGACAGACACUUUUCCCCGACUAAUAUCAGCUUUCGGUCUUAUUGGUUUCAUACGUUUCUUGGAAGGAUAUUAUAUAAUCCUUGUCACUAAACGACGUAAGGUGGCUGUAAUAGGGCAUCAUACGAUAUACAAAAUAGAGGAUACGUCGAUGAUUUAUAUUCCAAGCGACACUGUUCGAGUCUUUCAUCCCGACGAACAGAGAUACGUUAAAAUGUUUCAAAGUAUUGACCUUAAGAGUAACUUCUACUUCAGCUACUCUUACGAUUUGACGCACACUUUGCAAAGUAACAUGAGCCCACCGAAACACAUCAAGUCUGAUAUUUAUAAUAACAGAGACACCGAGGAUGCAGAAAACUUUUUUAAUAUGUGGGCACCUAAAAAGAAUCAGGGUAAAAGUGAUGUGGAGAAAUACCUCGAUUACGGAAUACGAAGCAAUCCGCAUCGUCGGUUUGUAUGGAAUUCGCAUUUGUUAAAACCAGUAGAGAAAGACUUGCAUCCCGAUUGGAUUUUAUAUAUUACUCAUGGUUUUAUCGGGCAGUCGAAUGUCAGCAUUUUUGGAAGGUCUAUGUACGUAACUCUUAUAGCCAGAAGGAGUAAUAAAUACGCUGGCACCAGAUUUUUGAAACGCGGAGCCAACUUCGAUGGAGACGUGGCCAACGAAGUAGAAACAGAGCAGAUCGUACACGAUUCUGGGGUGAGCUCUUUGAGUAAAGGACGCUUCAGUUCGUUUGUUCAAAUGCGAGGCUCCGUCCCAGCACACUGGAGUCAAGACGUUAGUAAAAUGGUCCCUAAGCCUACUAUCACUUGUGACUUGGCUGAUCCUUACGUGGAAACAGCAGGUGCACAUUUUAAUCAACUCCUAAGAAGGUAUGGUUCUCCAAUUAUAAUUCUGAAUCUCGUUAAGAAACGUGAGAAGAAGAAACACGAAAGUACUCUGAGCGAGGAAUUGGGCAUGGCUGUUAAAUAUUUAAACCAAUUUCUGCCGCCGGAACAUCAUAUUCAGUACAUAAGUUUCGACAUGGCUCGAAUGAACAAGAGGAAAAAAGUGAACGUUAUGGCACGAUUGGGGAACAUAGCGCAUAACGCAGUUUUGAAGACGGGAAUCUUUCAGUCUCAAGAUUCAUAUUACAGCCAAAGAAAUUUAUUUUGCCUGCAACCGAAUUAUGUCAAAAAAUUGUACAAGGCGAAUUCAUCUACGAAAUCCAGUAAUUCUGAAUUUAUUGGAGACAAUAAAGACGAUGAAUCGAGUGAUAUCGAAAGAGCAGUAAGACAGUGCUUCGGUCAGAAGGGUACACUGCAAACAGGCAUCAUUAGAACAAAUUGCGUGGAUUGCUUAGAUCGUACAAACACGGCACAAUUCGCAAUUGGAAAAUCUGCGUUGGCUUUUCAAUUGUGCGCCCUGGGAGUGUUAGGAACCCCGAAAUUGGAGUUUGACUCUGAUUGCGUACGAAUGUUAGAGGAACUGUACGAGGAUCACGGUGAUAUAUUAGCAUUGCAGUACGGUGGUUCUCAAUUAGUGCACAGGAUAAAGACUUACAGAAAAACUGCACCAUGGACCAGCCAGGGUAACGAUAUUAUGCAAACUCUCAGCAGGUAUUAUAGCAAUACGUUUAGCGAUCAAGAAAAGCAGCAUACAAUUAAUUUAUUCUUAGGUUUAUUUAUACCUGAAGAAGGGAAGUCUCCGAUUUGGGAGCUCUUAACAGAUUAUUAUCUUCACCACAAACCUGCAUGUCAGUAUUUUCGCAGGACGAAGCUCUUAACGCAAUGGUGGGACACUGCUGUGUUAAAGUGUCUACCAUACGCCCUGGACGAAGUAACGAAAGCUUGUUCAGAAAUAAUACAAGUGCAAAAUUCGAUGGAAGAGAUGAUCGACGUUUAUUACGAUUAUCACAGGCCGUACGAAUUAUCGUUGCUCUCCGAAGUUUACGCGUAUAAAAUUAGCCACUCUGUUAGAGACUUUAUGCCCCAUUUCACAACCAGUUUUAGUCCGUUCGCAGUGCGGGUACGACCUGGUAGAGGAAGGGAAGAAGCCGGCAGUAAAAAUCUAAACAUGAAGAAUCCUUCGAUGACUGGGCAAAGUAGCACCAGUAGCACGACAUCAAGCGCGAGUUCUAGUGACGAUUCGAGUUCGGAUGAGGAUGAAAGUCAUCACCAUACUAAUGAUUUUCAGCUAAUGAUAUCGAAAGAAAGUUCGGAAUUCACGUCUUUCGAAGCACUAUUUCCGUCUAUGAAAAAAGUAUAUGGCACUCAACCCGAAUAUCCGAAAAGGAAUGACGUAAUUCUAUAUAAGAAAUUUGCAUUAAUUGGUCGCAAUGCAACUCAUCCUACGGAUUACAUGAAGUUACGUUCGAAAUUAAUUCAACAAGCAUCAUUCCCUGAAGCAACAACUGCAAUAGUUGAGCUACCAACAGUAAAACAAUCUAGUAUAAAAAUAUACGAGCAAUAUGUUAAAAGAGCUAAGUCUGGUGGUUCAAUACCAAAUGCUAAUGAUAUGAAUUUGUAUGAAAGUUACGUGAAGCAAAAACAACUGUUGAACAGACCCAUAUUUUCGAAUUAAGAACUUUGGUCGGAGUGUAAGGAGACACGGCGGCACGUGAAUAUUCGUCGGAUGAACGCAGCCGCUCAUCAUCGUCUCUAUCCCGGACACGUAGGCAGGAUUUUUCAUCUGCAUCCUGCGGGACCGGACUGGUACGU
RNA transcript from Ceratina calcarata, 3336 nucleotides. It is a transcript of the gene named polyphosphoinositide phosphatase FIG4, with no coding region annotated. NCBI's taxonomy places the organism in Eukaryota, Metazoa, Arthropoda, Insecta, Hymenoptera, Apidae. The record is from RefSeq and is a predicted model, not a curated record. The transcript is spliced from 14 exons.